AUUGAACGCUGGCGGCAGGCCUAACACAUGCAAGUCGAACGAGUGGCGGACGGGUGAGUAAUGUCUGGGAAACUGCCUGAUGGAGGGGGAUAAAUACUGGAAAAGGUAGCUAAUACCGCAUACCAUCAGAUGGGCCCAUGUGGGUUUAGCUAGUUGGUGGGGUAACGGCUCACCAAGGGGACGAUCCCUAGCGGGUCUGAGAGGAUGACCAGCCACACUGGAACUGAGACACGGUCCAGACUCCUACGGGAGGCAGCAGUGGGGAAUAUUGCGCAAUGGGCGCAAGCCUGAUGCAGCCAUGCCGCGUGUAUGAAGAAGGCCUUCGGGUUGUAAAGUACUGUCAGCGGGGAGGCGUUACCCGCAGAAGAAGCACCGGCUAACUCCGUGCCAGCAGCCGCGGUAAUUC
Molecule: ribosomal RNA, 406 nt
Filed under: uncultured bacterium
Lineage: Bacteria
Description: partial 16S ribosomal RNA
Rfam family: Bacterial small subunit ribosomal RNA
Source: RNAcentral